UACGUAGGGUGCAAGCGUUGUCCGGAAUUAUUGGGCGUAAAGAGCUCGUAGGCGGCCUGUCACGUCGACUGUGAAAACCCGCGGCUCAACCGCGGGCCUGCAGCCGAUACGGGCAGGCUAGAGUUCGGUAGGGGAGACUGGAAUUCCUGGUGUAGCGGUGAAAUGCGCAGAUAUCAGGAGGAACACCGAUGGCGAAGGCAGGUCUCUGGGCCGAUACUGACGCUGAGGAGCGAAAGCGUGGGGAGCGAACAGG
Molecule: ribosomal RNA, 253 nt
Filed under: uncultured bacterium
Lineage: Bacteria
Description: partial 16S ribosomal RNA
Rfam family: Bacterial small subunit ribosomal RNA
Source: RNAcentral